AUCCAGCUGACGAGUCUCAAAUAAGACGGAAACACGUGCCCUGGAU
RNAcentral lists this non-coding RNA (46 nucleotides) under Schistosoma mansoni. The record is from RNAcentral. Lineage: Eukaryota; Metazoa; Platyhelminthes; Trematoda; Strigeidida; Schistosomatidae.